This 507-nucleotide ribosomal RNA is filed under the name uncultured bacterium. RNAcentral's name for it is "partial 16S ribosomal RNA". It matches the Rfam family "Bacterial small subunit ribosomal RNA", at positions 30 to 523 of the family's 1533-position model. The record is from RNAcentral.
AUUGAACGCUGGCGGCAUGCCUUACACAUGCAAGUCGAACGGCAGCGGGGGAGAAGCUUGCUUUUCCUGCCGGCGAGUGGCGAACGGGUGAGUAAUACAUCGGAACGUGCCCUGUAGUGGGGGAUAACUAGUCGAAAGAUUAGCUAAUACCGCAUACGACCUGAGGGUGAAAGUGGGGGACCGCAAGGCCUCAUGCUCUAGGAGCGGCCGAUGUCUGAUUAGCUAGUUGGUGGGGUAAAGGCCUACCAAGGCGACGAUCAGUAGCUGGUCUGAGAGGACGAUCAGCCACACUGGGACUGAGACACGGCCCAGACUCCUACGGGAGGCAGCAGUGGGGAAUUUUGGACAAUGGGCGAAAGCCUGAUCCAGCAAUGCCGCGUGUGUGAAGAAGGCCUUCGGGUUGUAAAGCACUUUUGUCCGGAAAGAAAUGGCUCUGGUUAAUACCUGGGUCGAUGACGGUACCGGAAGAAUAAGGACCGGCUAACUACGUGCCAGCCGCCGCGGUAA